GACGAACGCUGGCGGCGUGCCUAAUACAUGCAAGUAGAACGCUAGGAAACACACUGUCUUCUCACACUGUGUUUUCUUGAGUCGCGUACCGCUUAGUUACGCGUCGUUAACCUGCCUAUUAGCGGUGGAUAACUAUUGCUAACGCUACCUAAUACCGCAUAAUAUUUAUUAUUUCCUUAAAAUUUAUUAUAGCAUCCCUACCCAUCGCUCGUACAUGGUCUUGCGUUGUAUUAGCUAGUUGGUAAGGUAAGAGCUUACCAAGGCGACGAUACAUAGCCGACCUGAGAGGGUGAUCGGCCACACUGGGACUGAGACACGGCCCAGACUCCUACGGGAGGCAGCAGUAGGGAAUCUUCGGCAAUGGACGAAAGUCUGACCGAGCAACGCCGCGUGAGUGAAGAAGGUUUUCGGAUCGUAAAGCUCUGUUGUAAGAGAAGAACGUGUGUGAGAGUGGAAAGUUCACAAAGUGACGGUAGCUUACCAGAAAGAGACGGCUAACUACGUG
Molecule: ribosomal RNA, 505 nt
Filed under: uncultured bacterium
Lineage: Bacteria
Description: partial 16S ribosomal RNA
Rfam family: Bacterial small subunit ribosomal RNA
Source: RNAcentral